AUGUGGGGACCAUCCUCCAAGGCUAAAUACUCGUGAUCGACCGAUAGUGAACCAGUACCGUGAGGGAAAGGCGAAAAGAACACCGGGAGGGGAGUGAAAUAGAUCCUGAAACCGCAUGCAUACAAACAGUCGGAGCCUCGCAAGGGGUGACGGCGUACCUUUUGUAUAAUGGGUCAGCGACUUACGUUCAGUAGCAAGCUUAACCGUAUAGGGCAGGCGUAGCGAAAGCGAGUCCGAAUAGGGCGUUCAGUUGCUGGGCGUAGACCCGAAACCAAGUGAUCUAUCCAUGGCCAGGAUGAAGGUGCGGUAACACGUACUGGAGGUCCGAACCCACUAACGUUGAAAAGUUAGGGGAUGAGCUGUGGAUAGGGGUGAAAGGCUAAACAAACUUGGAAAUAGCUGGUUCUCUCCGAAAACUAUUUAGGUAGUGCCUCGUGUCUCACCAUCGGGGGUAGAGCACUGUCAUGGUUGGGGGGUCUAUUGCAGAUUACCCCGCCAUAGCAAACUCCGAAUACCGAAGAGUGCAAUCACGGGAGACAGACAUCGGGUGCUAACGUCCGGUGUCAAGAGGGAAACAACCCAGACCGCCAGCUAAGGUCCCCAAAUAUAGCUAAGUGGGAAACGAAGUGGGAAGGCUAAAACAGUCAGGAGGUUGGCUUAGAAGCAGCCAUCCUUUAAAGAAAGCGUAAUAGCUCACUGAUCGAGUCGUCCUGCGCGGAAGAUGUAACGGGGCUAAGCUAUAUACCGAAGCUGCGGAUGCGAGCUUUGCUCGCAUGGUAGGAGAGCGUUCCGUAAGCCUGCGAAGGUGCCUUGUAAAGGGUGGUGGAGGUAUCGGAAGUGCGAAUGCUGACAUGAGUAGCGAUAAAGGGGGUGAAAGGCCCCCUCGCCGUAAGCCCAAGGUUUCCUACGCAACAUUCAUCGG
Molecule: ribosomal RNA, 922 nt
Filed under: Pseudomonas sp. MWU12-2534b
Lineage: Bacteria; Pseudomonadati; Pseudomonadota; Gammaproteobacteria; Pseudomonadales; Pseudomonadaceae
Description: bacterial LSU rRNA
Rfam family: Bacterial large subunit ribosomal RNA
Source: RNAcentral